RNAcentral lists this ribosomal RNA (565 nucleotides) under uncultured archaeon. Its description in RNAcentral is "bacterial SSU rRNA". It matches the Rfam family "Archaeal small subunit ribosomal RNA", at positions 326 to 891 of the family's 1478-position model. The record is from RNAcentral.
CGGGGUGCACCAGGCGCGAAAACUUUACAAUGCUGGAAACAGCGAUAAGGGGACCUCGAGUGCCAGGUUACAAAUCUGGCUGUCGUGAUGCCUAAAAAGCAUUGCAUAGCAAGGGCCGGGCAAGACCGGUGCCAGCCGCCGCGGUAACACCGGCGGCUCGAGUGGUAACCGUUAUUAUUGGGUCUAAAGGGUCUGUAGCCGGCCGGAUAAGUCUCUUGGGAAAUCCAGCAGCUCAACUGUUGGGCUUUCAGGAGAUACUGUCUGGCUCGAGGCCGGGAGAGGUGAGAGGUACUUCAGGGGUAGGGGUGAAAUCUUGUAAUCCUUGAAGGACCACCAGUGGCGAAGGCGUCUCACCAGAACGGACCUGACGGCAAGGGACGAAAGCUAGGGGCACGAACCGGAUUAGAUACCCGGGUAGUCCUAGCCGUAAACGAUACUCGCUAGGUGUCGGCCACGGUGCGACCGUUGUCGGUGCCGUAGGGAAGCCGUGAAGCGAGCCACCUGGGAAGUACGGCCGCAAGGCUGAAACUUAAAGGAAUUGGCGGGGGAGCACAAGGGCGAAUUG